CCUACGGGAGGCUGCAGUGGGGAAUCUUGCGCAAUGCGCGAAAGCGUGACGCAGCAACGCCGCGUGAGGGAAGAAGGCCUUCGGGUUGUAAACCUCUUUCAGGAGGGACGAAGCUGUGGGGGCGAAUAGCCUCCCGCAGUGACGGUACCUCCAGAAGAAGCCCCGGCUAACUACGUGCCAGCAGCCGCGGUAAUACGUAGGGGGCUAGCGUUGUCCGGAAUCAUUGGGCGUAAAGCGCGCGUAGGCGGCCCGGUAAGUCCGCUCUGAAAGUCAGAGGCUCAACCUCUGGAGGCGAGUGGAUACUGUCGGGCUAGAGUCCGGAAGAGGCGAGUGGAAUUCCUGGUGUAGCGGUGGAAUGCGCAGAUAUCAGGAGGAACACCCAUGGCGAAGGCAGCUCGCUGGGACGGUACUGACGCUGAGGUGCGAAAGCGUGGGGAGCG
RNAcentral lists this ribosomal RNA (440 nucleotides) under uncultured bacterium. RNAcentral describes it as "bacterial SSU rRNA". It matches the Rfam family "Bacterial small subunit ribosomal RNA", at positions 338 to 770 of the family's 1533-position model. The record is from RNAcentral.